UUCCCUUUUGGCACACUUUCUCUUAUUGGCUAAGUAAUGGACGAGCUUCCUAUGGGCUUUGGCUGCUCGCAAUUUACAUUGUCGGUGAGGAUGUUGCUCGCGAUUUGCAGCGUCGGUGAUGGAAGCUCUCCUCUAACCACCAUACACUUGCAGCAACCACCAAUAACCAACGACGAUCAUUCCCAGUAGCGACGUCCUGCGCACAACGUACUCGAAGCAACCCUUUCUCACAAUUGAACUUGAACGCCACCAAUUACCUGCGAUAAUAAUUGCGACUCCGAUAAUUACUUUCCUUAGCCAAAGAUGAUUUUUCUGUUUUUGUAAGAACUUCUCAAAGUCGAUAUUGUAGUAGUACUAAUUAUACUUUGUGUUAGGCUGUUGUGCG
This 385-nucleotide long non-coding RNA is filed under the name Manihot esculenta (cassava). Its description in RNAcentral is "long non-coding RNA (MESC_LNC004773)". Lineage: Eukaryota; Viridiplantae; Streptophyta; Magnoliopsida; Malpighiales; Euphorbiaceae. The record is from RNAcentral.